Molecule: ribosomal RNA, 469 nt
Filed under: uncultured Methanomicrobiales archaeon
Lineage: Archaea; Methanobacteriati; Methanobacteriota; Methanomicrobia; Methanomicrobiales
Description: bacterial SSU rRNA
Rfam family: Archaeal small subunit ribosomal RNA
Source: RNAcentral
CGGGGAGCACCGCAACAGGUGGAGCCUGCGGUUUAAUCGGACUCAACGCCGGGAAACUCACCAGAUAAGACAGCUGAAUGAUAGUCGGGCUGAAGACUCUACUUGACUAGCUGAGAGGAGGUGCAUGGCCGUCGUCAGUUCGUACUGUGAAGCAUCCUGUUAAGUCAGGCAACGAGCGAGACCCACGCCAACAGUUGCCAGCUCGUCCUCCGGGAUGGUGGGGACACUGUUGGGACCGCCUCUGCUAAAGAGGAGGAAGGAAUGGGCAACGGUAGGUCAGCAUGCCCCGAAUUAUCUGGGCUACACGCGGGCUACAAUGGGUGGGACAAUGGGUAUCGACACCGAAAGGUGAAGGCAAUCUCCUAAACCCAUCCGUAGUUCGGAUUGUGGGCUGCAACUCGCCCACAUGAAGCUGGAAUCUGUAGUAAUCGUGUCUCAAAAUGGCACGGUGAAUAUGUCCCUGCUCCUU